AUGAACCGCAAAGGAACCACCUGAUCCCUUCCCGAACUCAGAAGUGAAACGACGCAUCGCCGAUGGUAGUGUGGGGUCUCCCCAUGUGAGAGUAGGUCAUC
This 101-nucleotide ribosomal RNA is filed under the name Pseudomonas aeruginosa. Lineage: Bacteria; Pseudomonadati; Pseudomonadota; Gammaproteobacteria; Pseudomonadales; Pseudomonadaceae. The record is from RNAcentral.